AAGAAAAAAUUUAAUUAUUUCAAAGAAAAAUAAUAACGAAAUGAAAAAGUUGUUUUUAUAUUUUCGAUUUGUGCGAAGGGCCACAUAACUCGAAAAGUUACCGACCGAGAGAUCACCGAAAUUUGACAAAAAGUUAUACGAUUUGGAUAUAAGCAUAGAUCGUGAGUCGAGUUUCAAGCUUGAGUUUGAAUAAGCAUAGCUCCGAUUGGUGAUUUUGCCUUACUUCGCGGCGUUCGUAUUAACAGUUACAAUAAAAAUUGGACAAAAUGCAAUGCAUAGCAACGAGAGUCUGCUGAAGUACAUAAAAUACGAAAGAAAAUAUAGAGUCCAGAGAAUGAAAUUUCCGAGAGAGCUGGAAGCCAUUUCUGGGUGAAACGGAAUGUCCUGACGGCUUGCAAUGGCAGCGAAAGAAAAUUCACCCGCAAGCGGUAGAGUGGAGUGCAGAUCCCCAGUGUUCACAGUUUCAAUACAAGCUGAGAAGAUAACAGUGUGAUUGAUGUCCUCGUAAGGCUAAAGGCUGACGUCACCGUCGUUCAAGAAGUGCGAUGGACAGGACAGGGACAGAGAAGAGUAGAUCAGCUGUCGGCAAAUUCAGUCUCCAUGACGAAACGUACCCAAAUGGGUUAAGGCUGAUCGACUUCAACGGAGCCCGAAAUAUAAUUGUCUGUAGUGCUAGAUCUCAGCACCAGAAAAUUCAUCUAGCUACGUACGUUCCGAUGACAAAACAUCAACUCGACUUGAAUUACUGAUAUGGGACGACCAACAAAAAUAGGAAAAGGCCGAAAUGUAAAUCAGAGAGGUGAUUAAGGGACUGAUACUCCAGCCUGCUAAAUGGCAGGGAAAAUGGAACCCCAAGAGAAGACGAACCCGUUUACCUAAUGACGCAGCUCGAACACCAGUCAUUUACUCGAAAAACAACAACAGAGCGGCGGAGCCGAUGAUCGGCACACAUCACCUCUUCGCCGAUGCUGAAAGAACCAACGGCAGCAUUGUCUCUAAGCCACUAUGUCCGAAUUUGUUAUCCCCCGCAAAACUUAUAGGCUGCUCUCUGCCUAAUAAGCAACCAAGCGAUACGAAGUUAAAAUUCUUUCUCCCUGAGUAAAUACCGAUGUAUUUACACAGGAAUAACAUAUGUAUGUGCAUACGAGUAUGUCUGUCUGCUUUCGAAGAGACAGCUUAUUGUUAUGCCAAACAAUGCUGCAGGAAAAGCUGAUUUCUCAUUCCUUCACUCUCACAUACAUUGCGUAUGGGGACUAAUAGAUACAUAAAACUUGUCCUUUCAAAAAAAGGAUAUUUUAUAACAACGUUUGUUUCACGCACACACAAACCUAACCAAAUCAAUUGAAUUGGGAAGAUGUGUAUGGAUAUGUAUGUCGGCAGUUGGAAAUUCAUCAUCUGCAGGAAAAAUGUAUUCACUAAAAUUUGAAGCUCCGAAUACAAGCGCCAUGCCUAUUAAUAAAUAACUGCGUUUGUAUGCACACAAAUGACUAAAACUUUGGCUCGAAGCCCGUGGUGGGAUAAGCUUGUGGGACUGCAGUACUGUAACAGCGUUACUCAAUAAGGAUGAGAGAAAGAGAGAAACUCUAUGCAGCAUGAAGUUGUAUAACGCCGAGGGCUCUCAAAAACGACUUUGCUAUUUGGUGCAUGCUUCAGGGAACUUAAAGUUAUUUUAAUUUAUGCAUUGUCGCUUAAUAUAUAUAUUUUAGCAUACUUUUAGGCACA
Molecule: long non-coding RNA, 1722 nt
Organism: Ceratitis capitata (Mediterranean fruit fly)
Lineage: Eukaryota; Metazoa; Arthropoda; Insecta; Diptera; Tephritidae
Exons: 4
Source: RefSeq, a predicted model, not a curated record